RNAcentral lists this long non-coding RNA (289 nucleotides) under Musa acuminata (dwarf banana). Its description in RNAcentral is "long non-coding RNA (MACU_LNC004151)". The record is from RNAcentral. Lineage: Eukaryota; Viridiplantae; Streptophyta; Magnoliopsida; Zingiberales; Musaceae.
AGUUCAACAGCAUCCCGGGGCUCAUGGAGGGUACUGCCAAGCCCGAUUAUGCAACCUGUGUUAAGAUCUCCACAGAUGCUUCCAUCAAGGAGAUGAUUCCUCCUGGUGCUCUGGUGAUGCUCACCCCCCUAAUUGUCGGGACCUUCUUCGGUGUCGAGACCCUAUCUGGGGUUCUUGCCGGUGCCCUUGUUUCUGGAGUUCAGGUAUGUGGAAAGUAGCUAGCAUAAUGUUUUCAUUAUGAGAAUCUUGUGCGUAUCGUGUCGAUAAUUGUUCUUGUUUGUUAAACAGA